This is a long non-coding RNA of Branchiostoma belcheri (Belcher's lancelet), 310 nucleotides long. RefSeq lists it as uncharacterized. The record is from RefSeq and is a predicted model, not a curated record. NCBI's taxonomy places the organism in Eukaryota, Metazoa, Chordata, Leptocardii, Amphioxiformes, Branchiostomatidae. The transcript is spliced from 3 exons.
GAUGCUUUCUUCGCCGGGUCCAAUCUGUUGGAGUAUCACAUCGCUAACGACCCUGAGUGUGAGAUAGUCAAAGUCGGGAAUGUGGCCGCCGCGGAGGGAUACGCCUUUGGGGUCCGAAAAGGCUCUGCCCUGAAGGACCCUGUGUCGUCCCUGAUCCUGCACUACUCCAGUAACGGUUAUCUGGACGAGCUGACACAGAAGUGGUACUCUACAGGGAGCUGCCACAAGAAGAAGCGGGAUCCAAACGAAGAAAAGCGCCAGCUGGGGGUUAAGCACGCAGAGGGUUUGGCCCUUUUCAUGAUCGGUGGGA